GACGAACGCUGGCGGCGUGCUUAACACAUGCAAGUCGAACGGAAAGGCCCUGCUUUUGUGGUGUUCUCGAGUGGCGAACGGGUGAGUAACACGUGAGUAACCUGCCCUUGACUUUGGGAUAACUUCAGGAAACUUGUGCUAAUACCUGAUAGGAGCUCCUGCUGCAUUGUGUGGUUUGGUUAGUUUCGGCGGUUGGGUAUGGUCUCGCUGCUUAUCAGCUUGUUUGUGGGGUAGUGGCUUACCAAGGCUUUGACGGGUAGCCGGCCUGAGAGGGUGACCGGCCACAUUGGGACUGAGAUACGGAACAGAAUGCUACGGGAGGCAGGAGUGGGGAAUAUUGGACAAUGGGAGGAAGCAUGAUGAAGAAAAGCAGCGUGCGGGAUGACGGCCUUCGGGUUGUAAAAAGAAUUAGAAUGUGAAGAAGAGAGAGUGACGGUAAUGGGUAAAGAAGCACCGGCUAACUACGUG
Molecule: ribosomal RNA, 468 nt
Filed under: uncultured bacterium
Lineage: Bacteria
Description: partial 16S ribosomal RNA
Rfam family: Bacterial small subunit ribosomal RNA
Source: RNAcentral